RNAcentral lists this ribosomal RNA (254 nucleotides) under uncultured bacterium. RNAcentral describes it as "partial 16S ribosomal RNA". It matches the Rfam family "Bacterial small subunit ribosomal RNA", at positions 524 to 776 of the family's 1533-position model. The record is from RNAcentral.
UACGUAGGGUGCGAGCGUUGUCCGGAAUUAUUGGGCGUAAAGAGCUCGUAGGCGGUCUGUCGCGUCGGUCGUGAAAACCUGCAGCUUAACUGUGGGCUUGCGGUCGAUACGGGCAUGACUGGAGUUCGGCAGGGGAGACUGGAAUUCCUGGUGUAGCGGUGAAAUGCGCAGAUAUCAGGAGGAACACCAAUGGCGAAGGCAGCUCGCUGGGACGGUACUGACGCUGAGGCGCGAAAGCGUGGGGAGCGAACAGG